UGCUCUAGUAACGGCGAGUGAAGCAGCAAUAGCUCAAAUUUGAAAUCUGGCGUCUUCGGCGUCCGAGUUGUAAUUUGUAGAGGAUGCUUCUGGGCAGCCAACCGGCCUAAGUUCCUUGGAACAGGACGUCAUAGAGGGUGAGAAUCCCGUAUGCGGCCGGAAGGGCACCCUACACGUAGCUCCUUCGACGAGUCGAGUUGUUUGGGAAUGCAGCUCUAAAUGGGAGGUAAAUUUCUUCUAAAGCUAAAUAUUGGCCAGAGACCGAUAGCGCACAAGUAGAGUGAUCGAAAGAUGAAAAGCACUUUGGAAAGAGAGUUAAAAAGCACGUGAAAUUGUUGAAAGGGAAGGGAUUGCAACCAGACUUGCUCGCGGUGUUCCGCCGGUCUUCUGACCGGUUCAUUCGCCGCGUUGCAGGCCAGCAUCGUCUGGUGCCGCUGGAUAAGACUUGAGGAAUGUGGCUCCCUCGGGAGUGUUAUAGCCUCUUGUGAUGCAGCGAGCGCCGGGCGAGGUCCGCGCUUCGGCUAGGAUGCUGGCGUAAUGGUUGUAAUCCGCCCGUCUUGAAACACGGACCAAGGAGUCUAACAUCUAUGCGAGUGUUCGGGUGUCAAACCCCUACGCGUAAUGAAAGUGAACGGAGGUGAGAACCGCAAGGUGCAUCAUCGACCGAUCCUGAUGUCUUCGGAUGGAUUUGAGUAUGAGCAUAGCUGUUGGGACCCGAAAGAUGGUGAACUAUGCCUGAAUAGGGUGAAGCCAGAGGAAACUCUGGUGGAGGCUCGCAGCGGUUCUGACGUGCAAAUCGAUCGUCAAAUUUGG
Molecule: ribosomal RNA, 813 nt
Filed under: Cladosporium cycadicola
Lineage: Eukaryota; Fungi; Ascomycota; Dothideomycetes; Cladosporiales; Cladosporiaceae
Description: LSU rRNA
Rfam family: Eukaryotic large subunit ribosomal RNA
Source: RNAcentral